This 1790-nucleotide ribosomal RNA is filed under the name Salmonella enterica. RNAcentral's name for it is "partial 23S ribosomal RNA". It matches the Rfam family "Bacterial large subunit ribosomal RNA", at positions 1167 to 2925 of the family's 2925-position model. Lineage: Bacteria; Pseudomonadati; Pseudomonadota; Gammaproteobacteria; Enterobacterales; Enterobacteriaceae. The record is from RNAcentral.
AAGAUGUAACGGGGCUAAACCAUGCACCGAAGCUGCGGCAGCGACGCUUAUGCGUUGUUGGGUAGGGGAGCGUUCUGUAAGCCUGUGAAGGUGUGUCGUGAGGCAUGCUGGAGGUAUCAGAAGUGCGAAUGCUGACAUAAGUAACGAUAAAGCGGGUGAAAAGCCCGCUCGCCGGAAGACCAAGGGUUCCUGUCCAACGUUAAUCGGGGCAGGGUGAGUCGACCCCUAAGGCGAGGCCGAAAGGCGUAGUCGAUGGGAAACGGGUUAAUAUUCCCGUACUUGGUGUUACUGCGAAGGGGGGACGGAGAAGGCUAUGUUGGCCGGGCGACGGUUGUCCCGGUUUAAGCGUGUAGGUGUGUGUUCCAGGUAAAUCCGGUUCACUUUAACACUGAGGCGUGAUGACGAGGCACUACGGUGCUGAAGUAACAAAUGCCCUGCUUCCAGGAAAAGCCUCUAAGCAUCAGGUAACAUCAAAUCGUACCCCAAACCGACACAGGUGGUCAGGUAGAGAAUACCAAGGCGCUUGAGAGAACUCGGGUGAAGGAACUAGGCAAAAUGGUGCCGUAACUUCGGGAGAAGGCACGCUGACACGUAGGUGAAGUGAUUUACUCACGGAGCUGAAGUCAGUCGAAGAUACCAGCUGGCUGCAACUGUUUAUUAAAAACACAGCACUGUGCAAACACGAAAGUGGACGUAUACGGUGUGACGCCUGCCCGGUGCCGGAAGGUUAAUUGAUGGGGUCAGCGCAAGCGAAGCUCCUGAUCGAAGCCCCGGUAAACGGCGGCCGUAACUAUAACGGUCCUAAGGUAGCGAAAUUCCUUGUCGGGUAAGUUCCGACCUGCACGAAUGGCGUAAUGAUGGCCAGGCUGUCUCCACCCGAGACUCAGUGAAAUUGAACUCGCUGUGAAGAUGCAGUGUACCCGCGGCAAGACGGAAAGACCCCGUGAACCUUUACUAUAGCUUGACACUGAACAUUGAGCCUUGAUGUGUAGGAUAGGUGGGAGGCUUUGAAGUGUGGACGCCAGUCUGCAUGGAGCCGACCUUGAAAUACCACCCUUUAAUGUUUGAUGUUCUAACGUGGACCCGUUACCCGGGUUGCGGACAGUGUCUGGUGGGUAGUUUGACUGGGGCGGUCUCCUCCUAAAGAGUAACGGAGGAGCACGAAGGUUGGCUAAUCCUGGUCGGACAUCAGGAGGUUAGUGCAAUGGCAUAAGCCAGCUUGACUGCGAGCGUGACGGCGCGAGCAGGUGCGAAAGCAGGUCAUAGUGAUCCGGUGGUUCUGAAUGGAAGGGCCAUCGCUCAACGGAUAAAAGGUACUCCGGGGAUAACAGGCUGAUACCGCCCAAGAGUUCAUAUCGACGGCGGUGUUUGGCACCUCGAUGUCGGCUCAUCACAUCCUGGGGCUGAAGUAGGUCCCAAGGGUAUGGCUGUUCGCCAUUUAAAGUGGUACGCGAGCUGGGUUUAGAACGUCGUGAGACAGUUCGGUCCCUAUCUGCCGUGGGCGCUGGAGAACUGAGGGGGGCUGCUCCUAGUACGAGAGGACCGGAGUGGACGCAUCACUGGUGUUCGGGUUGUCAUGCCAAUGGCACUGCCCGGUAGCUAAAUGCGGAAGAGAUAAGUGCUGAAAGCAUCUAAGCACGAAACUUGCCCCGAGAUGAGUUCUCCCUGAGACUUUAGGUCUCCUGAAGGAACGUUGAAGACGACGACGUUGAUAGGCCGGGUGUGUAAGCGCAGCGAUGCGUUGAGCUAACCGGUACUAAUGAACCGUGAGGCUUAACCUUACAACGCCG